GAUUAUAUGGUCUAAAAAGGAUAUUAAAUUGCAAAUUUAAUGGUAAAUUAAAUUUUAUAAUCU
This 63-nucleotide transfer RNA is filed under the name Myllocerinus aurolineatus. RNAcentral describes it as "tRNA-Cys". The record is from RNAcentral. Lineage: Eukaryota; Metazoa; Arthropoda; Insecta; Coleoptera; Curculionidae.